UACGUAGGUCCCGAGCGUUGUCCGAAUUUAUUGGGCGUAAAGCGAGCGCAGGUGGUUUAUUAAGUCUGGUGUAAAAGGUAGUGGCUCAACCAUUGUAUGCAUUGGAAACUGGUAGACUUGAGUGCAGGAGAGGAGAGUGGAAUUCCAUGUGUAGCGGUGAAAUGCGUAGAUAUAUGGAGGAACACCGGUGGCGAAAGCGGCUCUCUGGCCUGUAACUGACACUGAGGCUCGAAAGCGUGGGGAGCAAACAGG
This 252-nucleotide ribosomal RNA is filed under the name uncultured bacterium. Its description in RNAcentral is "partial 16S ribosomal RNA". It matches the Rfam family "Bacterial small subunit ribosomal RNA", at positions 524 to 776 of the family's 1533-position model. The record is from RNAcentral.